UACAGAGGGUGCGAGCGUUGUCCGGAAUCACUGGGCGUAAAGGGCGCGUAGGUGGUGGCUUAAGCGUGCGGUGAAAGCUCGGGGCUCAACUCCGAGUCGGCCGUGCGAACUGGGCUCACUGGAGCAUAGUAGAGGCAGGUGGAAUUCCGGGUGUAGCGGUGGAAUGCGUAGAGAUCCGGAAGAACACCGGUGGCGAAGGCGGCCUGCUGGGACGUGACUGACGCUGAGACGCGAAAGCGUGGGGAGCGAACAGG
Molecule: ribosomal RNA, 254 nt
Filed under: uncultured bacterium
Lineage: Bacteria
Description: partial 16S ribosomal RNA
Rfam family: Bacterial small subunit ribosomal RNA
Source: RNAcentral